Molecule: ribosomal RNA, 424 nt
Filed under: uncultured Gammaproteobacteria bacterium
Lineage: Bacteria; Pseudomonadati; Pseudomonadota; Gammaproteobacteria
Description: bacterial SSU rRNA
Rfam family: Bacterial small subunit ribosomal RNA
Source: RNAcentral
GAGUUUGAUCGUGGCUCAGAUUGAACGCUGGCGGCACGCCUAACACAUGCAAGUCGAGCGGCAGCGAGAGUAGUAGCAAUACUACUUGUCGGCGAGCGGCGGACGGGUGAGGAACACGUAGGAAUCUACCCAGAAGAGGGGGAUAACCAAGGGAAACUUUGGCUAAUACCGCAUAAUCUCGAGAGAGAAAAGCUGCCCGCAAGGGUGGGGCGCUUUUGGAGGAGCCUGCGUCCGAUUAGCUAGUUGGUAGGGUAAAGGCCUACCAAGGCGAUGAUCGGUAACUGGUCUGAGAGGACGACCAGUCACACUGGGACUGAGACACGGCCCAGACUCCUACGGGAGGCAGCAGUGGGGAAUAUUGGACAAUGGGGGAAACCCUGAUCCAGCGAUGCCGCGUGAGUGAAGAAGGCCUUCGGUCGUAAAG